This 253-nucleotide ribosomal RNA is filed under the name uncultured bacterium. RNAcentral describes it as "partial 16S ribosomal RNA". It matches the Rfam family "Bacterial small subunit ribosomal RNA", at positions 524 to 776 of the family's 1533-position model. The record is from RNAcentral.
UACGUAGGGUGCGAGCGUUAAUCGGAAUUACUGGGCGUAAAGUGUGCGCAGGCGGCAGAGCAAGUCGAGUGUGAAAGCCCCGGGCUUAACUUGGGAAUUGCGCUCGAAACUACUUUGCUGGAGUGUGGCAGAGGAAGGUGGAAUUCCACGUGUAGCGGUGAAAUACGUAGAGAUGUGGAGGAACACCAAUGGCGAAGGCAGCCUUCUGGGCCAACACUGACGCUCAUGCACGAAAGCGUGGGGAGCAAACAGG